Molecule: transfer RNA, 67 nt
Filed under: Trybliographa sp. ZJUH 20220008
Lineage: Eukaryota; Metazoa; Arthropoda; Insecta; Hymenoptera; Figitidae
Description: tRNA-Gln
Source: RNAcentral
UAUAUAUCAGUGUUUGGCACAAUAGAUUUUGAUUUUAUUAGGGAUAGAUUUAAUUUGUCGUAUAUAU